RNAcentral lists this ribosomal RNA (496 nucleotides) under uncultured bacterium. RNAcentral describes it as "partial 16S ribosomal RNA". It matches the Rfam family "Bacterial small subunit ribosomal RNA", at positions 28 to 507 of the family's 1533-position model. The record is from RNAcentral.
GAUGAACGCUGGCGGCGUGCCUAAUACAUGCAAGUCGAGCGAACGGACGAGAAGCUUGCUUCUCUGAUGUUAGCGGCGGACGGGUGAGUAACACGUGGAUAACCUACCUAUAAGACUGGGAUAACUUCGGGAAACCGGAGCUAAUACCGGAUAAUAUUUUGAACCGCAUGGUUCAAAAGUGAAAGACGGUCUUGCUGUCACUUAUAGAUGGAUCCGCGCUUCAUUAGCUAGUUGGUAAGGUAACGGCGUACCAAGGCAACGAUGCAUAGCCGACGCGGGAGGGGGUAGGCCCCAGUAGAAAGUGACCAGCGGCACAAGACCCGAGGGAGGGCCCAGGUGGGGAAUUUUCGCAAAUGGGGGAAAGCCUGCCGGAGGAACGCCGGGGGGGUGAAGAAGGGCUUCGGACUGUAAAACGUUUUUAUGGGGGAAAAACAUUUGUGUAAGUAACGGGGCACAUCUUGCGGUAACCAAUAAAGAAACCCCGGGUAAAUUCGUG